UCUAGAAGCUUCGGCAAUGGGGGAAACCCUGACCGAGCGACGCCGCGUGUAGGAUUGGAGGCCUUCGGGUCGUAAACUACUGUCAGAAGGGAAGAAUGCCCGGGUGGUGAACUCGGGAGAGACGGUACCUUCAGAGGAAGCCCCGGCUAACUCCGUGCCAGCAGCCGCGGUAAUACGGAGGGGGCAAGCGUUGUUCGGAUUUACUGGGCGUAAAGGGUGCGUAGGUGGUUGUGUAAGUCUGGUGUGAAAGCCUCACCGCUCAACGGGAGGAUGUCACUGGAAACUGCAUAACUUGAGUAUGGUAGAGGCAAGCGGAAUUCCUGGUGUAGCGGUGGAAUGUGUAGAUAUCAGGAAGAACACCGGUGGCGAAGGCGGCUUGCUGGGCCAUUACUGACGCUGAGGCACGAAAGCGUGGGGAGCGAACG
Molecule: ribosomal RNA, 425 nt
Filed under: uncultured bacterium
Lineage: Bacteria
Description: bacterial SSU rRNA
Rfam family: Bacterial small subunit ribosomal RNA
Source: RNAcentral